AGGACGAACGCUGGCGGCGUGCUUAACACAUGCAAGUCGAGCGGAAAGGCCCUUCGGGGUACUCGAGCGGCGAACGGGUGAGUAACACGUGAGCAAUCUGCCCUUAGCUUCGGGAUAGCUCCGGGAAACCGGAAUUAAUACCGAAUAUGACUUCGGCCGACAUCGGCCUUGGUGGAAAGUUUUUCGGCUAGGGAUGAACUCGCGGCCUAUCAGCUUGUUGGUGGGGUAAUGGCCUACCAAGGCGACGACGGGUAGCCGGCCUGAGAGGGCGACCGGCCACACUGGGACUGAGACACGGCCCAGACUCCUACGGGAGGCAGCAGUGGGGAUAUUGCGCAAUGGGCGAAAGCCUGACGCAGCGACGCCGCGUGGGGGAUGAAGGCCUUCGGGUUGUAAACUGCUUUCUCUGGGACGAGCAAGGACGGUACCAGAGGAAGAAGCCCCGGCUAACUACGCGCCAGCAGCCGC
This 468-nucleotide ribosomal RNA is filed under the name uncultured bacterium. Its description in RNAcentral is "SSU rRNA". It matches the Rfam family "Bacterial small subunit ribosomal RNA", at positions 26 to 518 of the family's 1533-position model. The record is from RNAcentral.